This 519-nucleotide ribosomal RNA is filed under the name uncultured bacterium. Its description in RNAcentral is "partial 16S ribosomal RNA". It matches the Rfam family "Bacterial small subunit ribosomal RNA", at positions 28 to 507 of the family's 1533-position model. The record is from RNAcentral.
GACGAACGCUGGCGGCGUGCCUAAUACAUGCAAGUCGAGCGAACAGGCCUAGAUCUUUUUGGUGCGUGGACCGGAGGAGACUAGAGACAAACGAGCGGAGGACGUCCGUGUAACACGUGGGUAACCUGGGCAAGAGAGCGAGAAUACCACUGGAUAUACUGGCUCAUACCGGGGAAUAGUAAUAGACGGAUGUCCAGUGUGUAAUAGAUGGUUCCGCGCUCCCUCUUGGAGUUGCCUGCGGUGCAGUAGCUAGUUGGUAAGGGAACGGCUUACCAAGGCGACGAUGCAUAGCCGAGUUGAGAGACUGAUCGGCCACAUUGGGACUGAGACACGGCCCAAACUCCUACGGGAGGCAGCAGUAGGGAAUCUUCCGCAAUGGGCGCAAGUCUGAUGGAGCAACGCCGCGUGAGUGAAGAAGGGUUUCGGCUCGUAAAGCUCUGUUGGUAGUGAAGAAAGAUAGUGGUAGUAACUGGGCUUUAUUUGACGGUAAUUACUGAGAAAGUCACGGCUAACUACGUG